RNAcentral lists this transfer RNA (71 nucleotides) under Sophrops subrugatus. RNAcentral describes it as "tRNA-Lys". The record is from RNAcentral. Lineage: Eukaryota; Metazoa; Arthropoda; Insecta; Coleoptera; Scarabaeidae.
CAUUAGGUAACUUAAAGCAAGUAAUGGUCUCUUAAACCACCUAAUAGUUGAGUAGCGCUGACUUCUAAUGA